GCCAGGUGUGUUGGCACAUGUCUGUAAUCUCAGCAACUCAAGAGGCUAAGGCAGGAGAAUUGCUAGUUUGAGGCCAGUCUCAGCAAUUUAGUGAGACCUUGUCUCCA
This 107-nucleotide small RNA is filed under the name Marmota monax (woodchuck). The record is from RNAcentral. Lineage: Eukaryota; Metazoa; Chordata; Mammalia; Rodentia; Sciuridae.